Molecule: long non-coding RNA, 617 nt
Organism: Oncorhynchus tshawytscha (Chinook salmon)
Lineage: Eukaryota; Metazoa; Chordata; Actinopteri; Salmoniformes; Salmonidae
Source: Ensembl
UCUCCUGGUCUCCUCCCAUGUAGACAGAGAGAGAGAUCACUCCAUGAAGAGGGACAGAGGGAGAGGAGGGUGUUCUCUUCAUCACUCCAUGGUGUCCUGGUUCUCCUGGUCUCCUCCCACGUAGACAGAGAGAGAGAGAGAUGAAGAGGGACAGAGGGAGAGGAGGGUGUUCUCUUCAUCACUCCAUGGUGUCCUGGUUCUCCUGGUCUCCUCCCACGUAGACAGAGAGAGAGAGAUGAAGAGGGACAGAGGGAGAGGAGGGUGUUCUCUUCAUCACUCCAUGGUGUCCUGGUUCUCCUGGUCUCCUCCCACGUAGACAGAGAGAGAGAGAGAUGAAGAGGGACAGAGGAAGAGGGACAGAGGGAGAGAUGAGGGUGUUCUCUUCAUCACUCCAUGGUGUCCUUGGUUCUCCUGGUCUCCUCCCACGUAGACAGAGAGAGAGAGAUGAAGAGGGACAGAGGGAGAGGAGGGUGUUCUCUUCAUCACUCCAUGGUGUCCUGGUUCUCCUGGUCUCCUCCCAUGUAGACAGAGAGAGAGAGAUGAAGAGGGACAGAGGGAGAGGAGGGUGUUCUCUUCAUCACUCCAUGGUGUCCUGGUUCUCCUGGUCUCCUCCCAUG